RNAcentral lists this ribosomal RNA (333 nucleotides) under uncultured Pseudomonadota bacterium. RNAcentral's name for it is "bacterial SSU rRNA". It matches the Rfam family "Bacterial small subunit ribosomal RNA", at positions 29 to 351 of the family's 1533-position model. Lineage: Bacteria; Pseudomonadati; Pseudomonadota. The record is from RNAcentral.
AACGAACGCUGGCGGCGUGCCUAACACAUGCAAGUCGAACGCGAAAAGCAGUAAUGCUGAGUAGAGUGGCGCACGGGUGAGUAACACGUAAAUGACAUGUCGAGGAGACAGGGAUAACCGUUCGAAAGGAUGGCUAAUACCUGGUAAGCCCACGUCCUUGGGGAUGAGGGAAAAGGUCGGGACCUUUCGAGGCCGAUCGCUUCUUGAGUGGUUUGCGGCCCAUCAGGUAGUUGGCGAGGUAAAAGCUCACCAAGCCUAAGACGGGUAGCUGGUCUGAGAGGAUGAUCAGCCACACUGGAACUGAGACACGGUCCAGACUCCUACGGGAGGCAG